Molecule: ribosomal RNA, 452 nt
Filed under: Enterococcus faecalis
Lineage: Bacteria; Bacillati; Bacillota; Bacilli; Lactobacillales; Enterococcaceae
Description: bacterial SSU rRNA
Rfam family: Bacterial small subunit ribosomal RNA
Source: RNAcentral
AGGAGUAAUUGGGGCAAUGGACGAAAGUCUGACCGAGCAACGCCGCGUGAGUGAAGAAGGUUUUCGGAUCGUAAAACUCUGUUGUUAGAGAAGAACAAGGACGUUAGUAACUGAACGUCCCCUGACGGUAUCUAACCAGAAAGCCACGGCUAACUACGUGCCAGCAGCCGCGGUAAUACGUAGGUGGCAAGCGUUGUCCGGAUUUAUUGGGCGUAAAGCGAGCGCAGGCGGUUUCUUAAGUCUGAUGUGAAAGCCCCCGGCUCAACCGGGGAGGGUCAUUGGAAACUGGGAGACUUGAGUGCAGAAGAGGAGAGUGGAAUUCCAUGUGUAGCGGUGAAAUGCGUAGAUAUAUGGAGGAACACCAGUGGCGAAGGCGGCUCUCUGGUCUGUAACUGACGCUGAGGCUCGAAAGCGUGGGGAGCAAACAGGAUUAGAUACCCUGGUAGUCCCAA